CGGCAACAGCUCAAAUUUGAAAUCUGGCCCCUAGGGUCCGAGUUGUAAUUUGUAGAGGAUGCUUUUGGUGAGGUGCCGCCCGAGUUCCCUGGAACGGGACGCCACAGAGGGUGAGAGCCCCGUACGGUUGGAUGCCUAGCCUCUGUGAAACUCCUUCGAC
RNAcentral lists this ribosomal RNA (160 nucleotides) under Trichoderma sp. RNAcentral's name for it is "partial large subunit ribosomal RNA". It matches the Rfam family "Eukaryotic large subunit ribosomal RNA", at positions 99 to 261 of the family's 3401-position model. Lineage: Eukaryota; Fungi; Ascomycota; Sordariomycetes; Hypocreales; Hypocreaceae. The record is from RNAcentral.